Rhopilema esculentum is the source of this 2082-nucleotide non-coding RNA. NCBI's taxonomy places the organism in Eukaryota, Metazoa, Cnidaria, Scyphozoa, Rhizostomeae, Rhizostomatidae. The record is from RefSeq and is a predicted model, not a curated record.
UUUUGGCUUGAAAUCAAAAGCGUCAAUCGCAUUCAAGACUCAAAAUAGAGAAAUAAUACCCUUGUUAGUCCAAAUUUCAUGAGACUUUGCAAAGUGAAAAUCAUUUUGUAGAUAGGUAAGACGAAUUAAGACGAGGUAAGACGAGUGCAUAAUUACUGAGCGACUCUAAAAACGCCUAAUUUGGUAGAAGACCAUAUUUUGCAGCAUUCACCAUAUUUCAAAAUUUAGCCAAUGUACUACCUUAAAUGGCAUUUAAAUUUUCCAAUGUUCCACUUCAAUGAUUUUCUAGGACUUUUUUGCUCAAGGUAUAAAUACAUUUUGUAAUCUUUUUAGCAUGUAUUCAUUCCUGUUGCAAUUUGUUUGAGCUUACACCAAAAAUUGACUGGACUACUACUGAACUUGACAAUAUGUACAUUUUCCCCGUUUUAUCUUCUUCCCCAUGAUAGGCAGCCAAAAUGUUUUACAUUACAUUAAGUUACGUCUCAAUAAAAGGAAUGAGUAUAUAAAUUUCUCUAAAGUUUGGUGGUGUAAAUUGUCAUUUAUCUUUAAGAAAAUGGAUACAGAAAAGAGGAGCGAUAGAGUUGUGGAGGUGAUGGAUGUAUGAUAUCAUGUUUUAUUAUAUACUUAGACUUGACUAUGAACAUUUUUGUUUUUUUAAUUAUUCCACGGAGAGGCAUGUUUCCCUUAGCAAUUCUAGUGUGAAUCUCACAAAUUCUUAGCUUUGCUUAAAUUCACUUUUUCCACCCCAUUGCUUGGACACUUAACUUUGUUGCAAUCAAUUGAUAGUAUAUCAAAACUGAUUAUUCUAAAUUGAUAUUUGAGUUUGAAUUUUGUUUAAGACGGAUUAGAAUUUCACAUUUUAAUAUCGUCAUUUAGCGUAAUAUAGAACCUACCAUACCAGCAACAGAUUGGCACAGUCAAGCGCCAUUUUGCUUGAUUUUAUUUCACUUUUCUCAAUUGCCUAGCAUGAAUAAUAAUAAAACAGUGAUUUUAGGCAUCGUUUUCUGACUUUUUGAUAUUUAGUCAGUUUGACAACAAUAAUUUGACCCAAUCAACCGUUACUCUCUACGUCUCAGAAAUAAUUAUAUAUUUUUAAAAUAUUUUUAUAGUCUUUUGGUAUAAAUUUUCCCUUACCUUCCAGGAGCUAGAAAACGGAGAAAGUUGCGCGGAGAAAGAGAUGGUAUGAUCGCAAUCCUGUGUACUAUUUUGCAUGAAAAAAAAUCAAAUUGUUCAUUUUGUUAAUAUCCUUCUUAGUCAGGCUAGAAUGUACGUCAGUCGUAACUGGAUGUACUACUUGAGUUAAUUUUAGGCUGGACUUUACUUUGUUUGCAAUUUCACUUCUUAUCACCAUAUUCUUUGAACAUUACGCUCUGUUGCACUCAAUGAAUAUUGCAUCAAAUUUGAUCAUUCUAAAUUGAUCUUAGGGUUUAAGUUGUCUUCAAGACGAUUUUGAAUAGUAGAUUUCAAUAUCUUCAGUGCUACUAUAUUAGCAGAUUAAAAGAUUUUAAUUUUUUCAUUUAACAGUUUUGAUAUUUAGUCAGUUUGACAACAAUAACUGUACCCUAUCAACCGUUACCCUUUGUGAUGAUAGGCAGCUUGAAAUGGUUGACUGUUUGCGUUACAAAUUUUGGAAUAUCUUUUAGGAAGUGGAAAAAAAACGAGGAAAGUGGAAGUUGUCGUUGGGGGCAAAAGGAAGAUGCUGCUAUGCCAAAGAAAAUUGUGCGCAAUGAAGCGCCUGAUUUGCCAAUCAUUCCAUUUAUCAAGGAAAACCCCAUUCAUAAUGUUAAAUGGGGAAAGAAAACGCCUCAAUGAAAUAAGAACAGGGAUGAGGAUAAUAAUAAAAUUUUUAAAGAAAAGAGAGAAGAGACAAGAAAAAAAAAUUGAGAAUUCCGGUGAGACACCCGGGGCCUCUUACAACUUUUCUGGCAACAGUAAACUUUUUAUUUAUCAUUAUAAGUAGGUAGUUUAGUUUGUUGUUUACUUUAAAAUCAUAGUUUGUUAUUUUAUUUAUUUUAAAGAUUUUUGAUAUUUUGUUAAGUUUAAUUUGUAAAUUGUAUAUAUAUAUAUAUUUAAAGAUGUUCA